This 468-nucleotide ribosomal RNA is filed under the name uncultured bacterium. Its description in RNAcentral is "partial 16S ribosomal RNA". It matches the Rfam family "Bacterial small subunit ribosomal RNA", at positions 28 to 507 of the family's 1533-position model. The record is from RNAcentral.
GACGAACGCUGGCGGCGUGCUUAACACAUGCAAGUCGAACGGAAAGGCCCUGCUUUUGUGGGGUGCUCGAGUGGCGAACGGGUGAGUAACACGUGAGUAACCUGCCCUUGACUUUGGGAUAACUUCAGGAAACUGGGGCUAAUACCGGAUAGGAGCUCCUGCUGCAUGGAGGGGGUUGGAAAGUUUCGGCGGUUGGGGAUGGACCCGCGGCUUAUCAGCUUGUUGGUGGGGUAGUGCCUUACCAAGGCUUUGACGGGUAGCCGGCCUGGGAGGGUGACCGGCCACAUUGGGACUGAGAUACGGCCCAGACUCCUACGGGAGGCAGCAGUGGGGAAUAUUGCACAAUGGACGGGAGCCUAAUGCAGCAACGCCACGUGCGGGAUAACGGCCUUCGAGUUGUAAACCGCUUUCGCCUGUGACGAAGCGUGAGUGACGGUAAUGGGUAAAGAGGCACCGGCUAACUACGUG